Molecule: transfer RNA, 65 nt
Filed under: Dipodomys ordii (Ord's kangaroo rat)
Lineage: Eukaryota; Metazoa; Chordata; Mammalia; Rodentia; Heteromyidae
Rfam family: tRNA
About the family: Transfer RNA (tRNA) molecules are approximately 80 nucleotides in length. Their secondary structure includes four short double-helical elements and three loops (D, anti-codon, and T loops).
Source: Rfam by way of RNAcentral
GGUAACUCAGUGGUAGAGUGCUUGCCUUGCAUGCAUGAGGCCCUGGGUUCAAUUCCUCAGUACCA